CACGUACGGCUUGCUGUGGUUGGCAUUGCACCGUGGCAUUUUCUGGGUGUGUUGACAGUUAGCCAUGCUGUCCUGGAAUAUCGUCGAGCACGUUUUGCCAUAAAGACGCCCUGUCGGCAUGCCAUUCGAUACCCUCAAGACGGCGUGGGUGUGAUGCUCUGAAAAGGAUGAAUGCAGAAAACAAAGUUUCUUAUGCCAUCUACAGCAUUUCAUGCAUCAUCCGCAAAGACACUGAAGAAAAGCCAUGAAGCGCCGGUUGCUCAUCAAAACGACAACCAGCCACCCAUGUCACCAGCCAAAGUGGUGUUGCAGACGAUGCUUAUCAGUGCGGGACCUCCUUCUGCUCCUCUGUACCUUCGUGGUGUUAUCCGUGUACAUGACUUACUACCUGGGAAACUUCUACGCU
Ornithodoros turicata is the source of this 406-nucleotide long non-coding RNA. RefSeq lists it as uncharacterized. The transcript has 3 exons. Lineage: Eukaryota; Metazoa; Arthropoda; Arachnida; Ixodida; Argasidae. The record is from RefSeq and is a predicted model, not a curated record.